This 665-nucleotide ribosomal RNA is filed under the name uncultured bacterium. RNAcentral's name for it is "bacterial SSU rRNA". It matches the Rfam family "Bacterial small subunit ribosomal RNA", at positions 143 to 807 of the family's 1533-position model. The record is from RNAcentral.
AUAGCCUUUCGAAAGAAAGAUUAAUACCCGAUGGCAUAGUUCUUCCGCAUGGUAGAACUAUUAAAGAAUUUCGGUCAUCGAUGGGGAUGCGUUCCAUUAGGUUGUUGGCGGGGUAACGGCCCACCAAGCCUUCGAUGGAUAGGGGUUCUGAGAGGAAGGUCCCCCACAUUGGAACUGAGACACGGUCCAAACUCCUACGGGAGGCAGCAGUGAGGAAUAUUGGUCAAUGGACGAGAGUCUGAACCAGCCAAGUAGCGUGAAGGAUGACUGCCCUAUGGGUUGUAAACUUCUUUUAUACGGGAAUAAAGUGAGGCACGUGUGCCUUUUUGUAUGUACCGUAUGAAUAAGGAUCGGCUAACUCCGUGCCAGCAGCCGCGGUAGUACGGAGGAUCCGAGCGUUAUCCGGAUUUAUUGGGUUUAAAGGGAGCGUAGGCGGACGCUUAAGUCAGUUGUGAAAGUUUGCGGCUCAACCGUAAAAUUGCAGUUGAUACUGGGUGUCUUGAGUACAGUAGAGGCAGGCGGAAUUCGUGGUGUAGCGGUGAAAUGCUUAGAUAUCACGAAGAACUCCGAUUGCGAAGGCAGCUUGCUGGACUGUAACUGACGCUGAUGCUCGAAAGUGUGGGUAUCAAACAGGAUUAGAUACCCUGGUAGUCCACACAGUAAAC